UGGGGGAUAUUGCACAAUGGAGGAAACUCUGAUGCAGCGACGCCGCGUGAGGGAAGAAGGUUUUCGGAUUGUAAACCUCUGUCUUCGGGGACGAAACAAAUGACGGUACUCGAGGAGGAAGCCACGGCUAACUACGUGCCAGCAGCCGCGGUAAUACGUAGGUGGCAAGCGUUGUCCGGAAUUACUGGGUGUAAAGGGAGCGCAGGCGGAACUGCAAGUUGGGUGUUUAAUCUACGGGCUCAACCCGUAUCAGCAUUCAAAACUGUGGUUCUUGAGUAAUGCAGAGGUAGGCGGAAUUCCCGGUGUAGCGGUGGAAUGCGUAGAUAUCGGGAGGAACACCAGUGGCGAAGGCGGCCUACUGGGCAUCAACUGACGCUGAGGCUCGAAAGCAUGGGUAGCA
RNAcentral lists this ribosomal RNA (400 nucleotides) under uncultured bacterium. RNAcentral's name for it is "bacterial SSU rRNA". It matches the Rfam family "Bacterial small subunit ribosomal RNA", at positions 355 to 770 of the family's 1533-position model. The record is from RNAcentral.